ACUCCGGGGAUAACAGGCUGAUACCGCCCAAGAGUUCAUAUCGACGGCGGUGUUUGGCACCUCGAUGUCGGCUCAUCACAUCCUGGGGCUGAAGUAGGUCCCAAGGGUAUGGCUGUUCGCCAUUUAAAGUGGUACGCGAGCUGGGUUUAGAACGUCGUGAGACAGUUCGGUCCCUAUCUGCCGUGGGCGCUGGAGAACUGAGGGGGGCUGCUCCUAGUACGAGAGGACCGGAGUGGACGCAUCACUGGUGUUCGGGUUGUCAUGCCAAUGGCACUGCCCGGUAGCUAAAUGCGGAAGAGAUAAGUGCUGAAAGCAUCUAAGCACGAAACUUGCCCCGAGAUGAGUUCUCCCUGACUCCCUGAGAGUCCUGAAGGAACGUUGAAGACGACGACGUUGAUAGGCCGGGUGUGUAAGCGCAGCGAUGCGUUGAGCUAACCGGUACUAAUGAACCGUGAGG
This 457-nucleotide ribosomal RNA is filed under the name Escherichia coli. RNAcentral describes it as "partial 23S ribosomal RNA". It matches the Rfam family "Bacterial large subunit ribosomal RNA", at positions 2465 to 2916 of the family's 2925-position model. The record is from RNAcentral. Lineage: Bacteria; Pseudomonadati; Pseudomonadota; Gammaproteobacteria; Enterobacterales; Enterobacteriaceae.